AAAUUCACUGGGUGCGCUGGAACGCGGCACACAGUAGUAGUAUGCCCUGCUUAAUACAUACAGGACAUAUUUGAGGCCCCUUCCAGGGGUGGGGUGGGAGGACAGAGGGAUGGGGGGUGCACCAGACGACACAGCCAGACUGAGAAAGGUGGUCCCAGAGCAGAGACAGGGACCUCGACGCAUCCUCCAUACCCGCUGCGGGGAAAUGGACCCCACCAGCCAGCACGGGGAGGAAACUGAGGCCUGGCGAAAGAAAGAUGCGGCCUGAGGUGGGACGUGAACCCGCGGCCCUGCAGCCCAGACAGCGGCCCCGGAGUGACCACCAGCUUCACCGAAGCCCCUUUACUGUGCCCCCGAGGACACCUGCCUGCCGUUCCCCAGGGCCGUCACCGCCGAUAGCGGUAGCGCUUGAAGUGAAACCACAGCUGGAAGAUGCCGUUGGCAAACUGGCAGCGGAAGCCGUGGCGGUGCGAGUAUUCCCACUCGCGGUUGACGAUCUUGAAAGCGAUGUCCUCGUAGGGCGGCCCCGCGUGGAAGCGCAGGAUGGCGAAAUCCUUGUUGUCGGCGCAGGCCUCCAGGAAGUACUCGGGCGUGGAGCGCUUGUCGAUGAGGUCGGGGUAGAAGAUGUUGAACUUGUAUCCCUGCACGAUCUUGGGCGGUGGGUUGUCAAAGUCGUAGUGCGUCUGGUUGUACUUGUUCCACUCGAAGCCCGUGUGCACGCGGUUGAAGAAGCGCGGCUUGCGUGGCCGGUACUUGUCGGCCCACAGGACGGAGGCUGCCCAGGGAGUGCUCGGACAGCGGCCGGUAAAAGCUUCCACCACCUGUGGCCCCAAGGCCAGUGGGCCAGCAAGCCCAGGAUGAAUGAAGGAACGCCCCAGUGCGCGUGCAGGUGACGGAAUGCACGCUCAGAGACCCGGGGGAGAAGCAGCAAGCAGCUCCCCACUGACGCCAGCGGCUUCGGCCGGGAAAUGAGGCUGGAGAAGCCCCGCCCCCAGCUCGCCCCACUGGCCCCACCCCCUGGCCUCCAGCCCCGCCCUUACCCGUGACCUGGAGCUGCUGGCGCGAGAGCUGCAGGCGCUGCAGGUCCUCAUCCGGUUCCAGCACGUGCGCGUCCAGUGGCAGCUCGUGCGCCGUGAGCAGCCGCGGGCUGUACCUGCCGGCGUCGUAGUCGUCCAGGCUCUGCUGGAUCAGGUCCUCCUCCAUGAGCACCGCCUCGCCCUCGCCCUCGCCCUCACCGUCCCCGUCGCCGUCGCCCUCUGUCGGGGUCGCGCCGUCCACCUCGGCCUCCGCGGGGCCGCCCUCCGAGGAGGGCCCGGGCGGGGUGGGCGCCGCGUCCUCAGGCUCCAGGCUGGGAGGAGAGAGCGUUGGAGGCGCGGAGGCUGCCCACGGCCCCUCCAUCCUGCUCCGCGUCUGCAUCGGCGUCCCCGGGGUGCCGGCCGGGCCUACCUGCGGCUGGGGGACUGGGGCUCCUGCUUGAGGAUGGGGAACAGCGGCUCGCUCUCCACGCCCUGCUCCUGCUUCAGUUUGUACAGCUUCUGCCGCAGCACGUCCUGGUGGCGCUCACGCAGCCUGGGACGCAGAGCCGGGGUCACCCGCAUGGAGGCGAAGGGGCUCCGCGCCCCACCCCCACCGAGAUUCUCACGCCCCUUAUUGCUGCAAGGACCCUGAGAAGGUGGCGAGCAGCCACGGCUCUGGCUGGGACCUUUGCCCAGGCUUGGUCAGUUCAGGGUCAAGGCUUAUGGGAGAGAGGACGAGAGGACGCAGGUACCCUGGUGAACCAUCCCAUGGCAGGGAGAGGUGGGUCUCUGUCUCACGCUGCAGUCUCAGUGUCUUGUGGCUGGGGCUGGCCAGGAGAAGGGGCCCAGCAGGACACCAGCCAACAAGCAUGAUAAAUUUAGAGACAUUUACAAAUU
Homo sapiens (human) is the source of this 1913-nucleotide long non-coding RNA. Ensembl annotates it as CACTIN antisense RNA 1. Its record names the gene CACTIN-AS1. The record is from Ensembl. NCBI's taxonomy places the organism in Eukaryota, Metazoa, Chordata, Mammalia, Primates, Hominidae.